Molecule: non-coding RNA, 71 nt
Organism: Spinacia oleracea (spinach)
Lineage: Eukaryota; Viridiplantae; Streptophyta; Magnoliopsida; Caryophyllales; Amaranthaceae
Source: Rfam
UGCCUAUUAGCUCAACCGGUAGAGCUUUGUGCGAUUGCACAAUGGUAUAAGUUCGAAUCCUACAUAGGCAA